RNAcentral lists this ribosomal RNA (425 nucleotides) under Mesocalanus tenuicornis. Its description in RNAcentral is "SSU rRNA". It matches the Rfam family "Eukaryotic small subunit ribosomal RNA", at positions 1371 to 1800 of the family's 1831-position model. The record is from RNAcentral. Lineage: Eukaryota; Metazoa; Arthropoda; Copepoda; Calanoida; Calanidae.
GCUAAUAGUGUCGGCUUCUCUAUUGAGCCGACAAUUCUUCUUAGAGGGACUGACGACUCUUAGUCGUACGAGAUUGAGCAAUAACAGGUCUGUGAUGCCCUUAGAUGUUCUGGGCCGCACACGCGCUACACUGAAUAGAUCAGCGUGUCCUCCCUUUCCGAGAGGAACGGGUAAACCGCUGAACCCUAUUCGUGGUAGGGAUCGGGGCUUGCAAUUAUUCCCCGUGAACCAGGAAUUCCCAGUAGGCGCAAGUCAUCAGCUUGCGUCGAUUACGUCCCUGCCCUUUGUACACACCGCCCGUCGCUACUACCGAUUGAACGUUUUAGUGAGGUCCUCGGACUGUUUGCCUGGCGGAUUACUCUGCCUGGCUGGCGGGAAGACGACCAAACUGUAGCGUUUAGAGGAAGUAAAAGUCGUAACAAGGU